This 432-nucleotide long non-coding RNA is filed under the name Rattus norvegicus (Norway rat). Its description in RNAcentral is "long non-coding RNA NONRATT016930". Lineage: Eukaryota; Metazoa; Chordata; Mammalia; Rodentia; Muridae. The record is from RNAcentral.
CCAAUGAGUAUUUAGGUGCCGACUGCUCUUCCACUGAUGGAGAAGAAAGUGAUACACCUCAAAAAUCUUAAGAACAAAGAAACUACAGAGCUGUUAAUAGAAGCUAUUUGGCAGGGUGGGAAGCUUGUUUUACUGCCUUUAAUUGGAUUUAAUUUUUAAAACCCUUUUGCCUAACAGUAAUCCUCGGAUCAGGUGGGACCUUACCCAAGACUGGCAAGCCCAGUCUGUUUGGAAGCACAAUGGGGAGACUUGAGCCUGCCCAGGUACAUGUAGUCAGCAACUUCAUGUUAAAAAAAAAAGCAUCCUGGGUAGGUGGGGGGCAGUGAUGAGGAUGUAAAGUGAAUGAAAUAAUAAUAAUAAUAACAACAACAACAACAUCAUCAUCAUCUUACUGGGAUGGCAAGUCAGUGGUCAGGAAAAAAAGUACAUUGG